Molecule: ribosomal RNA, 376 nt
Filed under: uncultured archaeon
Lineage: Archaea
Description: bacterial SSU rRNA
Rfam family: Archaeal small subunit ribosomal RNA
Source: RNAcentral
AACCUCUACACUGUACGAAAGUAUGAUAGGGGAACUUCGAGUGCUAGUUUUCUAGCUUUUGCUAACUGUAAAAAGGUUGGCGAAUAAAUGGGGGGCAAGAUACGUGCCAGCCGCCGCGGUAAUACGUACCCCAUAAGUGGUAUCCAGCAUUAUUGGGCCUAAAGCGUCCGUAGCCGGUCAAGUAAGUCUUUUGUGAAAUCAAUCAGCUCAACUGAUUGAAUUGCCAAAGAUACUGCUCGACUCGAGGCCGGGAGAAGUCAAGGGAAUUCCCGAGGUAGCAGUGAAAUGCAGUGAUGUCGGGAGGACCCCCAGUAGCGAAGGCGCUUGACUAGAACGGACCUGACGGUGAGGGACGAAAGCUGAGGGAGCGACCCGG